AGUCGAGGGGUAACGGAAGUAGCUUGCUACUAGACGACGACCGGCGCACGGGUGAGUAACGCGUAUGUAAUCUGCCUUGUACAGAGGGAUAGCCCAGAGAAAUUUGGAUUAAUACCUCAUAGUAUUACCGAAUCGCAUGAUUUGGUAAUUAAAGCUCCGGCGGUACAAGAUGAACAUGCGUGACAUUAGCUAGUUGGUAAGGUAACGGCUUACCAAGGCUACGAUGUCUAGGGGUUCUGAGAGGAUGAUCCCCCACACUGGUACUGAGACACGGACCAGACUCCUACGGGAGGCAGCAGUGAGGAAUAUUGGUCAAUGGACGCAAGUCUGAACCAGCCAUCCCGCGUGAAGGAUGACUGCCCUAUGGGUUGUAAACUUCUUUUAUAUGCAAAUAAACCUACUUUCGUGAAAGUAGCUGAAGGUAGCAUAUGAAUAAACACCGGCUAACUCCGUGCCAGCAGCCGCGGUAAUACGGAGGGUGUAAGCGUUAUCCGGAUUUAUUGGGUUUAAAGGGUACGU
Molecule: ribosomal RNA, 519 nt
Filed under: uncultured bacterium
Lineage: Bacteria
Description: bacterial SSU rRNA
Rfam family: Bacterial small subunit ribosomal RNA
Source: RNAcentral